GAUGAACGCUGGCGGCGUGCCUAAUACAUGCAAGUCGAACGAACAGACGAGGAGUUUGUUCCCUUGACGAUUGCCGCGCGCGUGAGAAACACGUGUGGAACCCCCCCCUAUAAGACUGGUAACACUUCGGGACACCGGCUCAUACCCCGUAUAAGAUAUUGAUCCAUGUGGUUCACUAGUGAGAUACAGUUUUGCUGUUACUUAUAGAUGGUGCCUCGCGUCAUUAGCUAGUUGGUAAGGUAACGGCUUACCAAGGCAACGAUUCGUAGCCGAGCUGAGAGGGGGAUCGCCCACACGGGAACGGAGCCACGGUCAAGACUCCUACGGGAGGAACCAGAAGGGAAUCUUGGGCAAGGGGCGAAAGCCUGACGGAGCAACCCCGCGUGAGUGAUGAAGUUCUUCGGUUCGUAAAACUCGUUUAUUAGGGAAGAACAAAUGUGGAAUUAAAUGUGCACGUCUUGACGGUACCUAAUCAGAAAGCCACGGCUAACUACGUG
Molecule: ribosomal RNA, 497 nt
Filed under: uncultured bacterium
Lineage: Bacteria
Description: partial 16S ribosomal RNA
Rfam family: Bacterial small subunit ribosomal RNA
Source: RNAcentral